This 253-nucleotide ribosomal RNA is filed under the name uncultured bacterium. RNAcentral's name for it is "partial 16S ribosomal RNA". It matches the Rfam family "Bacterial small subunit ribosomal RNA", at positions 524 to 776 of the family's 1533-position model. The record is from RNAcentral.
GACGGAGGGGGCUAGCGUUGUUCGGAAUUACUGGGCGUAAAGAGCGUGUAGGCGGUUUGGUAAGUUGAGAGUGAAAGCCCGAAGCUUAACUUCGGAAUUGCUUUCAAAACUGCCAAUCUAGAGUGUAGUAGGGGGUGAUGGAAUUCCUAGUGUAGAGGUGAAAUUCUUAGAUAUUAGGAGGAACACCGGUGGCGAAGGCGAUCACCUGGGCUACAACUGACGCUGAGACGCGAAAGCGUGGGGAGCAAACAGG